AUGGGUAUCCAGUUUGCCACAAAAUGUACAUUACCAAUGAACACAAGACAACGUACUUUGGCAGAUCUGACUUGCUCUCCGUCAGUUUCAAAAGGAACAAGCUUCAGCCCAGGGCCCAUCUUGCUGCAGCCAGCUCGUUGCUCAGGAGCUGUAAUCCCUUCCUUUGACUCUCCCCCAGCUGGAGUGCCCCAGUUUCAAACACCACAGGUGGAAGUCUUGGCCCUCACCAGUCAUCGUGUUGCAGAAAUCCCCGUGUCCCUUUGGGAAGUCGGGGUGGGGAUGAGCGAAGUGGUCCUCCGGGAAAUCCCUGCAGAACAUCGUGCUGCAGGCAACUCAGGAAAUUGA
RNAcentral lists this long non-coding RNA (345 nucleotides) under Anas platyrhynchos platyrhynchos (common mallard). Its description in RNAcentral is "lncRNA (ENSAPLG00000024694.1)". The record is from RNAcentral. Lineage: Eukaryota; Metazoa; Chordata; Aves; Anseriformes; Anatidae.